AGAGUUUGAUCCUGGCUCAGAAUCAACGCUGGCGGCGUGCCUAACACAUGCAAGUCGCACGAGAAAGGGUAGCAAUACCUGAGUAAAGUGGCGCACGGGUGAGUAACACGUGACUAAUCUACCCUCGAGUGGGGAAUAACUGAGAGAAAUCUUAGCUAAUACCGCAUAACACUUACGAGUCAAAGCAGCAAUGCGCUUGGGGAGGAGGUCGCGGCCGAUUAGCUAGUUGGCGGGGUAAUGGCCCACCAAGGCGAUGAUCGGUAUCCGGCCUGAGAGGGCGCACGGACACACUGGAACUGAAACACGGUCCAGACUCCUACGGGAGGCAGCAGUGGGGAAUUUUGCGCAAUGGGGGAAACCCUGACGCAGCAACGCCGCGUGGAGGAUGAAAUAUCUUGGUAUGUAAACUCCUUU
Molecule: ribosomal RNA, 414 nt
Filed under: uncultured bacterium
Lineage: Bacteria
Description: bacterial SSU rRNA
Rfam family: Bacterial small subunit ribosomal RNA
Source: RNAcentral